AGAAAGCUAGUCUAACCAAGACAGUUGAUUUCGACCCAACAGAUUAUAGUCACCACCCUAUAGCUUUCUC
RNAcentral lists this transfer RNA (70 nucleotides) under Melanocharis citreola (Satin berrypecker). RNAcentral's name for it is "tRNA-Arg". The record is from RNAcentral. Lineage: Eukaryota; Metazoa; Chordata; Aves; Passeriformes; Melanocharitidae.